GGGACCCAAAGAGAUUAAAGUCAAAGAUCAAGUUUGGGGAUCCCAUGGAAAGAAGAUGAAAAGAUCCCAUUAAAAGAUGAGUCAGCUUCGAGAGUUUGGCGAAAUUUCUUUCAGA
Long non-coding RNA from Neltuma alba, 115 nucleotides. RefSeq lists it as uncharacterized. NCBI's taxonomy places the organism in Eukaryota, Viridiplantae, Streptophyta, Magnoliopsida, Fabales, Fabaceae. The transcript is spliced from 3 exons. The record is from RefSeq and is a predicted model, not a curated record.